AGUGAACGCUGGCGGUAGGCCUAACACAUGCAAGUCGAACGGCAGCACAGUAAGAGCUUGCUCUUACGGGUGGCGAGUGGCGGACGGGUGAGGAAUACAUCGGAAUCUACUUUUUCGUGGGGGAUAACGUAGGGAAACUUACGCUAAUACCGCAUACGACCUACGGGUGAAAGCAGGGGAUCUUCGGACCUUGCGCGUUUGAAUGAGCCGAUGUCGGAUUAGCUAGUUGGCGGGGUAAAGGCCCACCAAGGCGACGAUCCGUAGCUGGUCUGAGAGGAUGAUCAGCCACACUGGAACUGAGACACGGUCCAGACUCCUACGGGAGGCAGCAGUGGGGAAUAUUGGACAAUGGGCGCAAGCCUGAUCCAGCCAUACCGCGUGGGUGAAGAAGGCCUUCGGGUUGUAAAGCGCUUUUGUUGGGAAAGAAAAGCAGCAGGUUAAUACCCCGCUGUUCUGACGGUACCCAAAGAAUAAGCACCGGCUAACUUCGUG
This 492-nucleotide ribosomal RNA is filed under the name uncultured bacterium. RNAcentral describes it as "partial 16S ribosomal RNA". It matches the Rfam family "Bacterial small subunit ribosomal RNA", at positions 29 to 507 of the family's 1533-position model. The record is from RNAcentral.